CCUACGGGAGGCAGCAGUGAGGAAUAUUGGUCAAUGGACGAGCGUCUGAACCAGCCAAGUAGCGUGAAGGAUGACUGCCCUAUGGGUUGUAAACUUCUUUUAUAUGGGAAUAAAAUGUUCCACGUGUGGGAUUUUGUAUGUCCCAUAUGAAUACGGAUCGGCUAACUCCGUGCCAGCAGCCGCGGUAAUACGGAGGAUCCGAGCGUUAUCCGGAUUUAUUGGGUUUAAAGGGAGCGUAGGUGGAUUGUUAAGUCAGUUGUGAAAGUUUGCGGCUCAACCGUAAAAUUGCAGUUGAAACUGGCAGUCUGGAGUACAGUAGAGGCGGGCGGAAUUCGUGGUGUAGCGGUGAAAUGCUUAGAUAUCACGAAGAACUCCGAUUGCGAAGGCAGCUCACUGGACUGCAACUGACACUGAGGCUCGAAAGUGUGGGUAUCAAACAGGAUUAGAUACCCUUGUAGUC
Molecule: ribosomal RNA, 460 nt
Filed under: uncultured bacterium
Lineage: Bacteria
Description: partial 16S ribosomal RNA
Rfam family: Bacterial small subunit ribosomal RNA
Source: RNAcentral